AAAAUCAACUACUACUUAAUAUACACAUGCAAGUCUCCGCACCCCUGUGAAAACGCCCUUAAAUUUCCCACACCGAAACAAGGAGCUGGUAUCAGGCUCAAUUUUUAGCCCAAAACACCUAGUAAUGCCACACCCACAAGGGAACUCAGCAGUGAUUAACAUUGAGUAUAAGCGACAGCUUGACUCAGUUAAAGUAAAAAGAGCCGGCAAAUCUGGUGCCAGCCGCCGCGGUUACACCACGUGGCUCAAAUUGAUUUUUUUCGGCGUAAAGAGUGAUUAAAGUUACUAUAAUAACUAUAGUUAUAUUAAAACUAAGCUGUGAUAUGCUUGUUUUUAAGAAACCCAAAAACGAAAGUUACUAUAUUUCUAACAACUUGAAUCCACGACAGCUAGAGCACAAACUGGGAUUAGAUACCCCAGUAUGUCUAGCCGNAAACUUUUAAUUACACCCACUUCUGCCAGGGAACUACGAGCAAAGCUUAAAACCCAAAGGACUUGACGGUACCCCACAUCCGCCUAGAGGAGCCUGUCCUAUAAUCGAUAAUCCCCGUUUAACCUCACCAUUUUUAGCCUCUCAGCCUGUAUACCUCCGUCGCCAGCUUACCUCGUGAGCGAUUUUAUAGUGAGCUUAAUGUCUUCACACCAAUACGUCAGGUCAAGGUGCAGCAAAUAAAAUGGGAAGAGAUGGGCUACACUCUCUAACUUAGAGCACACGAAAGACUACCCAUGAAACCUAGUCAGAAGGUGGAUUUAGCAGUAAAAAGAGACCAUAAUGCUCUUUUUAACACGGCACUGGGGUGUGUACACACCGCCCGUCACCCUCUUCAAAGCUACAAACUAGUAUCUAACACAACAUAGCCAACCAGAAGAGGCAAGUCGUAACAUGGUAAGUAUACCGGAAGGUGUGCUUGGAAACAAAAUGUAGCUU
Molecule: non-coding RNA, 928 nt
Filed under: Pseudacris crucifer (spring peeper)
Lineage: Eukaryota; Metazoa; Chordata; Amphibia; Anura; Hylidae
Description: partial 12S ribosomal RNA
Rfam family: Bacterial small subunit ribosomal RNA
Source: RNAcentral